CCCUUAGAUGUCCUGGGCCGCACGCGCGCUACACUGACAUGUUCAACAAGUUUCUCCUAGUUCGACAGGACUGGGAAAUCUUUGAACGCAUGUCGUGAUAGGGAUAGAUCAUUGCAAUUAUUGAUCUUGAACGAGGAAUUCCUAGUAAACGCGAGUCAUCAGCUCGCAUUGAUUACGUCCCUGCCCUUUGUACACACCGCCCGUCGCACCAACCGAUUGAAUGUUUCGGUGAAGAUUCCGGAUAGGACUGAUUUGAUUUAUUUCAUUUCUGACCUAAAAGCUAUCUAAACCUCAACAUUUAGAGGAAGGUGAAGUCGUAACA
Molecule: ribosomal RNA, 322 nt
Filed under: uncultured eukaryote
Lineage: Eukaryota
Description: partial 18S ribosomal RNA
Rfam family: Eukaryotic small subunit ribosomal RNA
Source: RNAcentral